This 490-nucleotide ribosomal RNA is filed under the name uncultured Actinomycetes bacterium. RNAcentral's name for it is "bacterial SSU rRNA". It matches the Rfam family "Bacterial small subunit ribosomal RNA", at positions 355 to 836 of the family's 1533-position model. Lineage: Bacteria; Bacillati; Actinomycetota; Actinomycetes. The record is from RNAcentral.
UGGGGAAUCUUGCGCAAUGCGCGACAGCGUGACGCAGCAACGCCGCGUGGGGGAAGAAGGCUUUCGGGUCGUAAACCCCUUUCAGGAGGGACGAAGCUCCGGCCGCGAAUAGCGGUCCGGAGUGACGGUACUUCCACAAGAAGCCCCGGCUAACUACGUGCCAGCAGCCGCGGUAAUACGUAGGGGGCUAGCGUUGUCCGGAAUCAUUGGGCGUAAAGAGCGCGUAGGCGGCCAGAUAAGUCCGGUGUGAAAGUCACAGGCUCAACCUGUGAAUGCCGCUGGAAACUGUUUGGCUAGAGUCCGGUAGGGGCGAGUGGAAUUCCUGGUGUAGCGGUGAAAUGCGCAGAUAUCAGGGAGGAACACCAAUGGCGAAGGCAGCUCGCUGGAACGGUACUGACGCUGAGGCGCGAAAGCGUGGGGAGCGAACAGGAUUAGAUACCCUGGUAGUCCACGCCGUAAACGAUGGGUACUAGGUGUAGGAGGUGUCGAC